Molecule: ribosomal RNA, 501 nt
Filed under: uncultured bacterium
Lineage: Bacteria
Description: partial 16S ribosomal RNA
Rfam family: Bacterial small subunit ribosomal RNA
Source: RNAcentral
AUUGAACGCUGGCGGCAUGCCUUACACAUGCAAGUCGAACGGCAGCACGGGUGCUUGCACCUGGUGGCGAGUGGCGAACGGGUGAGUAAUACAUCGGAACGUACCUUAUCGUGGGGGAUAACGCAGCGAAAGCUGUGCUAAUACCGCAUACGCCCUGAGGGGGAAAGCGGGGGAUCGCAAGACCCCGCGCGAUUAGAGCGGCCGAUGCCUGAUUAGCUUGUUGGUGGGGUAAAAGCCCACCAAGGCGACGAUCAGUAGCAGGUCUGAGAGGACGAUCAGCCACACUGGGACUGAGACACGGCCCAGACUCCUACGGGAGGCAGCAGUGGGGAAUUUUGGACAAUGGGGGCAACCCUGAUCCAGCAAUGCCGCGUGAGUGAAGAAGGCCUUCGGGUUGUAAAGCUCUUUUGUCAGGGAAGAAACACCGGCUCUAACACAGUCCGGGAAUGACGGUACCUGAAGAAAAAGCACCGGCUAACUACGUGCCAGCAGCCGCCGUAA